CGAAAGCCUGACGGAGCAACGCCGCGUGAGGGAUGAAGGCCUCUGGGCUGUAAACCUCUUUUAUCAAGGAAGAAGAUCUGACGGUACUUGAUGAAUAGGCCACGGCUAAUUCCGUGCCAGCAGCCGCGGUAAUACGGGAGUGGCAAGCGUUAUCCGGAAUUAUUGGGCGUAAAGCGUCCGCAGGCGGCCCUUCAAGUCUGCUGUUAAAAAGUGGAGCUUAACUCCAUCAUGGCAGUGGAAACUGUUGGGCUUGAGUGUGGUAGGGGCAGAGGGAAUUCCCGGUGUAGCGGUGAAAUGCGUAGAUAUCGGGAAGAACACUAGUGGCGAAGGCGCUCUGCUGGGCCAUCACUGACGCUCAUGGACGAAAGCCAGGGGAGCGAAAG
Molecule: ribosomal RNA, 383 nt
Filed under: uncultured cyanobacterium
Lineage: Bacteria; Bacillati; Cyanobacteriota
Description: bacterial SSU rRNA
Rfam family: Bacterial small subunit ribosomal RNA
Source: RNAcentral